RNAcentral lists this ribosomal RNA (460 nucleotides) under uncultured bacterium. RNAcentral describes it as "partial 16S ribosomal RNA". It matches the Rfam family "Bacterial small subunit ribosomal RNA", at positions 338 to 795 of the family's 1533-position model. The record is from RNAcentral.
CCUACGGGCGGCUGCAGUGAGGAAUAUUGGUCAAUGGCCGAGAGGCUGAACCAGCCAAGUCGCGUGAAGGAUGAAUGUGCUAUGGGUUGUAAACUUCUUUUAUAUUGGAAUAAAAUCUUGCACGUGAGGGUGUCUGUAUGUACUAUAUGAAUAAGGAUCGGCUAACUCCGUGCCAGCAGCCGCGGUAAUACGGAGGGUCCGAGUGUUCUCCGGAUUUAUUGGGUUUAAAGGGAGCGUAUGUGGGUUGUUAAGUCAGGUGUGAAAGUAUGGGGCUCAACCGUAGAAUUGCCGUUGAAACGGGCAGUCUUGAGAACAGGAGAGGUGGGCGGAAUUCGUGGUGUAGCGGUGAAAUGCUUAGAUAUCACGAAGAACUCCGAGUGCGAAGGCAGCAUACUGGACGGCAACUGACGCUGAGGCUCGAAAGCGUGGGUAUCAAACAGGAUUAGAUACCCGGGUAGUC